Molecule: ribosomal RNA, 428 nt
Filed under: uncultured bacterium
Lineage: Bacteria
Description: partial 16S ribosomal RNA
Rfam family: Bacterial small subunit ribosomal RNA
Source: RNAcentral
GUGGGGAAUAUUGGGCAAUGGGCGCAAGCCUGACCCAGCAACGCCGCGUGAGGGAAGAAGGUUUUCGGAUUGUAAACCUCUGUCCUUGGUGACGAAGGAAGUGACGGUAACCAAGGAGGAAGCCCCGGCUAACUACGUGCCAGCAGCCGCGGUAAUACGUAGGGGGCAAGCGUUGUCCGGAAUGACUGGGCGUAAAGGGCGUGUAGGCGGCCGAUUAAGUCUGGAGUGAAAGUCCUGCUUUCAAGGUGGGAAUUGCUUUGGAGACUGGUUGGCUUGAGUGCGGAAGAGGUAAGUGGAAUUCCCAGUGUAGCGGUGAAAUGCGUAGAGAUUGGGAGGAACACCAGUGGCGAAAGCGACUUACUGGGCCGUAACUGACGCUGAGGCGCGAAAGCGUGGGGAGCGAACAGGAUUAGAUACCCCUGUAGUCC